UAGGGAAUCUUCCACAAUGGACGAAAGUCUGAUGGAGCAACGCCGCGUGAGUGAAGAAGGGUUUCGGCUCGUAAAACUCUGUUGUUAAAGAAGAACAUAUCUGAGAGUAACUGUUCAGGUAUUGACGGUAUUUAACCAGAAAGUCACGGCUAACUACGUGGCAG
RNAcentral lists this ribosomal RNA (164 nucleotides) under uncultured bacterium. Its description in RNAcentral is "partial 16S ribosomal RNA". It matches the Rfam family "Bacterial small subunit ribosomal RNA", at positions 355 to 511 of the family's 1533-position model. The record is from RNAcentral.